GACGAACGCUGGCGGCGUGCCUAAUACAUGCAAGUAGAACGCUGAAGGAGGAGCUUGCUUCUCUGGAUGAGUUGCGAACGGGUGAGUAACGCGUAGGUAACCUGCCUGGUAGCGGGGGAUAACUAUUGGAAACGAUAGCUAAUACCGCGUAAUAGUAGAUGUUGCAUGACAUUUGCUUAAAAGGUGCAAUUGCAUCACUACCAGAUGGACCUGCGUUGUAUUAGCUAGUUGGUGGGGUAACGGCUCACCAAGGCGACGAUACAUAGCCGACCUGAGAGGGUGAUCGGCCACACUGGGACUGAGACACGGCCCAGACUCCUACGGGAGGCAGCAGUAGGGAACCUUCGGCAAUGGACGGAAGUCUGACCGAGCAACGCCGCGUGAGUGAAGAAGGUUGUCGGAUCGUAAAGCUCUGUUGUAAGAGAAGAACGAGUGUGAGAGUGGAAAGUUCACACUGUGACGGUAUCUUACCAGAAAGGGACGGCUAACUACGUG
This 495-nucleotide ribosomal RNA is filed under the name uncultured bacterium. Its description in RNAcentral is "partial 16S ribosomal RNA". It matches the Rfam family "Bacterial small subunit ribosomal RNA", at positions 28 to 507 of the family's 1533-position model. The record is from RNAcentral.